AUCGCUUCUCGGCCUUUUGGCUAAGAUCAAGUGUAGUAUCUGUUCUUAUCAGUUUCAAGGCGAGAAGUAAUGUAGGAUGGCGGCGACGUCGGCCAAUUUUU
This is a small nuclear RNA of Astatotilapia calliptera (eastern happy), 101 nucleotides long. Its record names the gene U2. It matches the Rfam family "U2 spliceosomal RNA". Rfam says of the family: U2 is a small nuclear RNA (snRNA) component of the spliceosome (involved in pre-mRNA splicing). The record is from Ensembl. Lineage: Eukaryota; Metazoa; Chordata; Actinopteri; Cichliformes; Cichlidae.